RNAcentral lists this ribosomal RNA (305 nucleotides) under uncultured bacterium. Its description in RNAcentral is "partial 16S ribosomal RNA". It matches the Rfam family "Bacterial small subunit ribosomal RNA", at positions 505 to 807 of the family's 1533-position model. The record is from RNAcentral.
ACAGCAGCAGCCGCGGGAAUACGAAGGGGGCUAGCGUUGUUCGGAUUUACUGGGCGUAAAGCGCACGUAGGCGGAUCGUUAAGUCGGGGGUGAAAUCCUGGAGCUCAACUCCAGAACUGCCUUCGAUACUGGCGAUCUUGAGUCCGGAAGAGGUGAGUGGAACUCCUAGUGUAGAGGUGGAAUUCGUAGAUAUUAGGAAGAACACCAGUGGCGAAGGCGGCUCACUGGUCCGGUACUGACGCUGAGGUGCGAAAGCGUGGGGAGCAAACAGGAUUAGAUACCCCAGUAGUCCCUGUCUCUUAUAC